Molecule: ribosomal RNA, 518 nt
Filed under: Ototretinae sp. UPOL 000M38
Lineage: Eukaryota; Metazoa; Arthropoda; Insecta; Coleoptera; Lampyridae
Description: partial 16S ribosomal RNA
Rfam family: Archaeal large subunit ribosomal RNA (bases 382-518)
Source: RNAcentral
CAUGUCUUUUUGAUAAUAAUUUAAGGUCUGGUCUGCUCAAUGAUUUUAAAUUGCCGCGGUAUUUUGACUGUGCAAAGGUAGCAUAAUAAUUAGUUUUUUAAUUGGGAACUGGAAUGAAUGAUUGAAUGAGAAAUUUUCUGUCUCUUUAUUAAUUAUUUUUGAAUUUAAUUUUUAAGUUAAAAAGCUUAAAUUAAAGUAAAAGACGAGAAGACCCUAUAGAGUUUAAUUUUUUAUUAUUUUAUUUUUUUUUGGUAUUUAUUUAAUGAUUUAAGAUAAAAUUUCAUUGGGGAGUUGAGAAGAUUAAUUAAACUCUUUUUUAAAUAUCAGAGAUUUUUGAAUUGAUAAUCUUAAUUUUUAAAGUUUAAAUUAAAUUACCUUAGGGAUAACAGCGUAAUUUUUCUUUAAAGUUCUUAUUGAAAGAGAAGAUUGCGACCUCGAUGUUGGAUUAAAAUUAAUUUUUGGCGUAGAAGCUUUAUUAUUUAGUCUGUUCGACUAUUAAAAUUUUACAUGAUCUGAGU